Molecule: long non-coding RNA, 588 nt
Filed under: Pan troglodytes (chimpanzee)
Lineage: Eukaryota; Metazoa; Chordata; Mammalia; Primates; Hominidae
Description: long non-coding RNA NONPTRT013086
Source: RNAcentral
GUUGGCAAGCUGGAGACCCAAGAAGAGCCAAUAUUUCAGUUUGAGUCUGAAGGCAGGAAAAGACUGAUGUCCCAUCUCAAAGCAGUCAGGCAGAGGGAGUUCCCUCUUGUUCUCAGUCAAGGAAGGAUGGCGCAGUGCUCCCGCUGUUCCGAGGCUCAGCUAUCCUGAGGGAGGCAGGGAAUUUUGAUCAGCUUCUGAAGAAUCACCUCAUCUCUCCCUGCAGAGAGCACAGAGCACAGGACUUCACGUUAUGUCAAAUGAGUCUUCUGAGGUUCAGAAGGGUGAGAUGACACAUUCAAGGUCACAUGGCUCAUUUGUGCUGGAGUCAGAAGUUUCCAGAUUUCUUGACUUUUAGUCCAAGGAGCAGUCCCUGUGCAUGUGUCAGAGUUGAACAAGCCAGGUUCCAGGAGAGCAGAUGGUCCUGAAGAAGGUCUUCCUGGCUGAUCUGAGAGGUGACACCGAGGAAUAAAGAAGGGAAGGAUGAGAUGAGCUUCUGAGUUUGGAAACUGCAUUGAUGUUGAAGAUGGUCUCAAAGUUGUCAGGUGGAAGUUCAGAGAAAGACAAGAUUAUAGACAAAAUAAAGGCACU